AUUCAAAUUUAAAUAAUAAUUAAUUCUCAUGAAACAGUGCAAUUCAUUAGAAAAUUUCUGAUAAAAAAAUCUUAUAAAGGGAAAAUGAAAAUUGGAAAACUGGACAAGUGAAUGUGUUUUCUGGUUUUCCAAUUUUUUACUUGGAAAAUGAAAAUUGGGAGAAAACUGGAAAAUGGAAAGAUAUGUGUUUUCAACAACUAAACAAGGCCUUAAAGUUUCA
RNAcentral lists this unclassified non-coding RNA (220 nucleotides) under Hevea brasiliensis (rubber tree). The record is from RNAcentral. Lineage: Eukaryota; Viridiplantae; Streptophyta; Magnoliopsida; Malpighiales; Euphorbiaceae.